CCUACGGGAGGCAGCAGUGAGGAAUAUUGGUCAAUGGCCGGAAGGCUGAACCAGCCAUGCCGCGUGAAGGUCAGUGCCCUAUGGGCGUUAAACUUCUUUUGUGCGGGAGCAAUAAUGGUCACGUGUGGCCAGACGAGAGUACCGUACGAAUAAGCAUCGGCUAACUCCGUGCCAGCAGCCGCGGUAAUACGGGGGAUGCAAGCGUUAUCCGGAUUUACUGGGUGUAAAGGGAGCGUAGGCGGUUUAGCAAGUCAGAAGUGAAAGCCCGGGGCUCAACUCCGGGACUGCUUUUGAAACUGUUGAACUAGAUUGCAGGAGAGGUAAGUGGAAUUCCUAGUGUAGCGGUGAAAUGCGUAGAUAUUAGGAGGAACACCAGUGGCGAAGGCGGCUUACUGGACUGUAAAUGACGCUGAGGCUCGAAAGCGUGGGGAGCAAACAGGAUUAGAUACCCCAGUAGUC
This 459-nucleotide ribosomal RNA is filed under the name uncultured bacterium. RNAcentral's name for it is "partial 16S ribosomal RNA". It matches the Rfam family "Bacterial small subunit ribosomal RNA", at positions 338 to 795 of the family's 1533-position model. The record is from RNAcentral.